UACGUAGGGGGCUAGCGUUGUCCGGAAUCAUUGGGCGUAAAGAGCGUGUAGGCGGUCCGGUAAGUCCGCUGUGAAAGUCGGGGGCUCAACCCUCGAAUGCCGGUGGAUACUGUCGGGCUAGAGUGCGGAAGAGGCGAGUGGAAUUCCUGGUGUAGCGGUGAAAUGCGCAGAUAUCAGGAAGAACACCCGUGGCGAAAGCAGCUCUCUGGGACGGUACUGACGCUGAGACGCGAAAGCGUGGGGAGCGAACAGG
Molecule: ribosomal RNA, 253 nt
Filed under: uncultured bacterium
Lineage: Bacteria
Description: partial 16S ribosomal RNA
Rfam family: Bacterial small subunit ribosomal RNA
Source: RNAcentral